RNAcentral lists this ribosomal RNA (467 nucleotides) under uncultured bacterium. Its description in RNAcentral is "partial 16S ribosomal RNA". It matches the Rfam family "Bacterial small subunit ribosomal RNA", at positions 28 to 507 of the family's 1533-position model. The record is from RNAcentral.
GACGAACGCUGGCGGCGUGCUUAACACAUGCAAGUCGAACGGAAAGGCCUCUUUCGGGUGGUACUCGAGUGGCGAACGGGUGAGUAACACGUGAGUAACCUGCCCUUGACUUUGGGGUAACUUCAGGAAACUGGGGCUAAUACCGGAUAGGAGCUCCUGCUGCAUGGUGGGGGUUGGAAAGUUUCGGCGGUUGGGGAUGGACUCGCGGCUUAUCAGCUUGUUGGUGGGGUAGUGGCUUACCAAGGCUUUGACGGGUAGCCGGCCUGAGAGGGUGUCCGGCCAAAUUGGGACUGGGAUACGGCCCAGAAUCCUACGGGAGGCAGGAGUGGGGAAUAUUGCACAAUGGGUGGAAGCCUGAUGCAGCAACGCCGUGUGCGGGAUGACGGCCUUCGGGUUGUAAACCGCUUUCGCUCAUGACGAAGCUUUGUGUGACGGUAGUGGGUAAAGAAGCACCGGCUAACUACGUG